UAGAGAAUUUCGGUCAUCGAUGGGGAUGCGUUCCAUUAGCUUGUUGGCGGGGUAACGGCCCACCAAGGCAUCGAUGGAUAGGGGUUCUGAGAGGAAGGUCCCCCACAUUGGAACUGAGACACGGUCCAAACUCCUACGGGAGGCAGCAGUGAGGAAUAUUGGUCAAUGGGCGCUAGCCUGAACCAGCCAAGUAGCGUGAAGGAUGACUGCCCUAUGGGUUGUAAACUUCUUUUAUAUGGGAAUAAAGUGCAGUAUGUAUACUGCUUUGCAUGUACCUUAUGAAUAAGGAUCGGCUAACUCCGUGCCAGCAGCCGCGGUAAUACGGAGGAUCCGAGCGUUAUCCGGAUUUAUUGGGUUUAAAGGGAGCGUAGGCGGGUUGUUAAGUCAGUUGUGAAAGUUUGCGGCUCAACCGUAAAAUUGCAGUUGAUACUGGCAUCCUUGAGUACAGUAGAGGUAGGCGGAAUUCGUGGUGUAGCGGUGAAAUGCUUAGAUAUCACGAAGAACUCCGAUUGCGAAGGCAGCCUGCUGGACUGUAACUGACGCUGAUGCUCGAAAGUGUGGGUAUCAAACAGGAUUAGAUACCCUGGUAGUCCACACAGUAAACGAUGAAUACUCGCUGUUUGCGAUAUACAGUAA
RNAcentral lists this ribosomal RNA (636 nucleotides) under uncultured bacterium. Its description in RNAcentral is "bacterial SSU rRNA". It matches the Rfam family "Bacterial small subunit ribosomal RNA", at positions 202 to 842 of the family's 1533-position model. The record is from RNAcentral.